Molecule: ribosomal RNA, 207 nt
Filed under: uncultured Mesotoga sp.
Lineage: Bacteria; Thermotogati; Thermotogota; Thermotogae; Kosmotogales; Kosmotogaceae
Description: partial 16S ribosomal RNA
Rfam family: Bacterial small subunit ribosomal RNA
Source: RNAcentral
UGCGUAGGUGGCCUAACAUGUCAACUGUGAAAACCCGGAGCUCAACUCCGGACUUGCAGUUGAAACUGGUAGGCUUGAGGACGGUAGAGGAAGACGGAACUGCCAGUGUAGGGGUAAAAUCCUUAGAUAUUGGCAGGAACGCCGGUGACGAAGGUGGUUUUCUGGGCCGGUUCUGACACUGAUGCUCGAAAGCCAGGGGAGCGAACG